Molecule: ribosomal RNA, 180 nt
Filed under: uncultured Glomeromycotina
Lineage: Eukaryota; Fungi; Glomeromycota
Description: partial small subunit ribosomal RNA
Rfam family: Eukaryotic small subunit ribosomal RNA (bases 89-180)
Source: RNAcentral
GACUCGGUUGGGCGGUCCGCUUAACGGCGUGUACUGUCUGACUGGGCCUUACCUCUUGGUGAGCCAGUGUGCCCUUUAUUGGUGUGCAUUGGGGAACCAGGACUUUUACUUUGAAAAAAUUAGAGUGUUCAAAGCAGGCAUUUUUUAGCUUGAAUACAUUAGCAUGGAAUAAUAAAAUAG